RNAcentral lists this transfer RNA (70 nucleotides) under Makalata didelphoides (Red-nosed armored tree-rat). Its description in RNAcentral is "tRNA-Ala". It matches the Rfam family "tRNA". Rfam says of the family: Transfer RNA (tRNA) molecules are approximately 80 nucleotides in length. Their secondary structure includes four short double-helical elements and three loops (D, anti-codon, and T loops). Further hydrogen bonds mediate the characteristic L-shaped molecular structure. tRNAs have two regions of fundamental functional importance: the anti-codon, which is responsible for specific mRNA codon recognition, and the 3' end, to which the tRNAs corresponding amino acid is attached (by aminoacyl-tRNA synthetases). tRNAs cope with the degeneracy of the genetic code in two manners: having more than one tRNA (with a specific anti-codon) for a particular amino acid; and 'wobble' base-pairing, i.e. permitting non-standard base-pairing at the 3rd anti-codon position. Lineage: Eukaryota; Metazoa; Chordata; Mammalia; Rodentia; Echimyidae. The record is from RNAcentral.
AAGGGCUUAGCUUAAUUAAAGUGUUUGUUUUGCACACAGGCGAUGUAAGAUUAUAAACUUGCAGUCCUUA